AACGAACGCUGGCGGCAGGCCUAACACAUGCAAGUCGAGCGAGGACUUCGGUCCUAGCGGCGGACGGGUGAGUAACGCGUGGGAACGUGCCCUUUGCUUCGGAAUAGCCCUGGGAAACUGGGAGUAAUACCGGAUGAGCCCUUUGGGGGAAAGAUUUAUCGGCGAAGGAUCGGCCCGCGUUGGAUUAGGUAGUUGGUGGGGUAAUGGCCUACCAAGCCGACGAUCCAUAGUUGGUUUGAGAGGAUGAUCAGCCACACUGGGACUGAGACACGGCCCAGACUCCUACGGGAGGCAGCAGUGGGGAAUCUUAGACAAUGGGGGAAACCCUGAUCUAGCCAUGCCGCGUGAGCGAUGAAGGCCUUAGGGUUGUAAAGCUCUUUCAGCUGGGAAGAUAAUGACGGUACCAGCAGAAGAAGCCCCGGCUAACUCCGUG
This 433-nucleotide ribosomal RNA is filed under the name uncultured bacterium. Its description in RNAcentral is "partial 16S ribosomal RNA". It matches the Rfam family "Bacterial small subunit ribosomal RNA", at positions 29 to 507 of the family's 1533-position model. The record is from RNAcentral.